UACGUAGGUGGCAAGCGUUGUCCGGAUUUACUGGGCGUAAAGAGCGCGCAGGCGGCUGGUCAAGUCCGAUGUGAAAUCUCCCGGCUCAACUGGGAAACUGCAUCGGAAACUGAUCGGCUUGAAGGUGGGAGAGGGUAGUGGAAUUCCCGGUGUAGUGGUGAAAUGCGUAGAUAUCGGGAGGAACACCAGUGGCGAAGGCGACACGCUGGGCCGUACCUGACACUGAGGCGCGAUAGCAUGGGGAGCAAACAGG
RNAcentral lists this ribosomal RNA (253 nucleotides) under uncultured bacterium. RNAcentral's name for it is "partial 16S ribosomal RNA". It matches the Rfam family "Bacterial small subunit ribosomal RNA", at positions 524 to 776 of the family's 1533-position model. The record is from RNAcentral.